This 1296-nucleotide unclassified non-coding RNA is filed under the name Hevea brasiliensis (rubber tree). Lineage: Eukaryota; Viridiplantae; Streptophyta; Magnoliopsida; Malpighiales; Euphorbiaceae. The record is from RNAcentral.
AGAAAAAUAAAAAAAAUAUAUUUUUUAAUUAUUUUCUUUUCUCUCUUAUUUUGUAUCCAAACAUAGCAUUAAUGUUGGAUUUUAAAUAUCUGAUGUUGGGUUCUUCGUCCAAACUGAUCAUAAAGAUUAAGCUACGCAAUGAGAACCUUCAGUUCUUUGUUUUUACUCUGGAGAGUGAACAACCUAUUUACAAAUCGAAAUUGCUUGGAAAAAGAAAAUUAUAAUUUCAGUGAAUCAUGCGAUCCCAUUCAUUUGAGGAUACAAUUCUGAUGGUGUUUCGGAACUGCCAUGUGCCGAUUGUGUUUCAAACGUCUCUAAUAGCGAUACCCAAAGCACAAUCCCAUUUUUUCCUCUUACGUUGAGUUGGUUGAGAGGGAGUUAAAAGGAUGGGGUGUGAGUGGAGAUUAAUCGUUUAAUCUUAUUUAUGAGUUAUAUUAAAAUGUAAAUGGAGGUUAAUAAAUUUUAAAUAUUUAUUAUCCAUUAACGUAUGAAGGAGGUUAAUAAAUCUUCUAGUCUUAUGACUUUUCUGGUUUUGUAUGCUGAAAUUGUGGCUGGGAGGAAUCAUCAAGUAGUUGCAGCAGCAAAGUUUGCUUAUAAAGCUAUGCCUUCUUUGUUGGACAUUAAACCCCUGGAAGUCAACGAUGGAAGUUGUCGUUUCUUGGGGCCCCCUGCCUGAUGAAUGGGUUAAAGUUAAGACGGAUGACUGUUAGAGGAAGGGGUAAUUUGGUUUUGGGAGGGGCUUUGCUAAGGGAUUCUUCGAACCGCUGGAUUUCUGGUUUCGUUGCUAAUUGGGGCUCUUGCUCUGUCCCUGUCUAUAUUAAAGGUCUUAUGUUAGCUAAAUCUGCUGGGUUUAAAAAAGUUGUGGUAGGGAGCGAUAGCUCAACCGCAGUUGCUCUGAUUUUGGAUAAUAAAGUGCUCCCUUGUCAUCUUCGUGCUCUGGUUCUCAUGGUUCGCAAGCUUCUCCAUGGGGAGUGGACAAUCAAGGUGCAACAUGUUUUUAGAGAAGGAAACUUUUGCGUAGACAUAUUAGCUGCGCUUGCUGUUUCUUAUCAUGUUUGUGUUCAUUACUUUCAAUCUCCCGCGUCGGUUAGGAGUGCGCAGUUUGGAUUCAGUUCGAAAUUUGUCCAGGAAUCGAUAUGAAUUUUUGGUAAGGUUUCAGUUUGGUUAUUUGUUGUUUUGGUUUCGAUUCAGUACGGUUCUCGGUCUUCGAUUUCAGUUUGAUUGGAUAUGAUUUCGGUUCGGUUUCGAUUCUUGAAACAAUUUUAUAUAAUUAUUUCUUUAAAAAGUCAUUCUUGA